RNAcentral lists this ribosomal RNA (253 nucleotides) under uncultured bacterium. Its description in RNAcentral is "partial 16S ribosomal RNA". It matches the Rfam family "Bacterial small subunit ribosomal RNA", at positions 524 to 776 of the family's 1533-position model. The record is from RNAcentral.
UACGGAGGGGGCUAGCGUUGUUCGGAAUUACUGGGCGUCAAGCGCACGUAGGCGGCUUUGUAAGUUAGAGGUGAAAGCCCAGGGCUUAACCCUGGAAUUGCCUUUAAGACUGCAUCGCUAGAAUCGUGGAGAGGUGAGUGGAAUUCCGAGUGUAGAGGUGAAAUUCGUAGAUAUUCGGAAGAACACCAGUGGCGAAGGCGACUCACUGGACACGUAUUGACGCUGAGGUGCGAAAGCGUGGGGAGCAAACAGG